AGUAGGCGGGGUAACGGCCCACCAAGGCGACGAUGCGUAGGGGUUCUGAGAGGAAGGUCCCCCACACUGGUACUGAGACACGGACCAGACUCCUACGGGAGGCAGCAGUGAGGAAUAUUGGUCAAUGGGCGGGAGCCUGAACCAGCCAAGUCGCGUGAGGGAAGACGGUCCUAUGGAUUGUAAACCUCUUUAGGCGGGGAGCAAUGCCGGGCACGCGUGCCCGGAGGGAGAGUACCCGCAGAAUAAGCAUCGGCUAACUCCGUGCCAGCAGCCGCGGUAAUACGGAGGAUGCGAGCGUUAUCCGGAUUUAUUGGGUUUAAAGGGUGCGUAGGCGGAUUUUUAAGUCAGCGGUAAAAUGUCCGGGCUCAACCCGGGCCGGCCGUUGAAACUGGGGAUCUUGAGUGGGCGAGAAGUAUGCGGAAUGCGUGGUGUAGCGGUGAAAUGCAUAGAUAUCACGCAGAACUCCGAUUGCGAAGGCAGCAUACCGGCGCCCGACUGACGCUGAGGCACGAAAGCGUGGGGAUCGAACAGGAUUAGAUACCCUGGUAGUCCACGCAGUAAACGAUGAA
Molecule: ribosomal RNA, 569 nt
Filed under: uncultured bacterium
Lineage: Bacteria
Description: bacterial SSU rRNA
Rfam family: Bacterial small subunit ribosomal RNA
Source: RNAcentral